Molecule: ribosomal RNA, 450 nt
Filed under: uncultured bacterium
Lineage: Bacteria
Description: partial 16S ribosomal RNA
Rfam family: Bacterial small subunit ribosomal RNA
Source: RNAcentral
GUGGGGAAUAUUGGACAAUGGGCGAAAGCCUGAUCCAGCCAUGCCGCGUGUGUGAAGAAGGUCUUCGGAUUGUAAAGCACUUUAAGUUGGGAGGAAGGGUAGUAACCUAAUACGUUGCUACUUUGACGUUACCGACAGAAUAAGCACCGGCUAACUUCGUGCCAGCAGCCGCGGUAAUACGAAGGGUGCAAGCGUUAAUCGGAAUUACUGGGCGUAAAGCGCGCGUAGGUGGUUCAGUAAGUUGGAAGUGAAAUCCCCGGGCUCAACCUGGGAACUGCUUUCAAAACUGCUGAGCUAGAGUACGGUAGAGGGUAGUGGAAUUUCCUGUGUAGCGGUGAAAUGCGUAGAUAUAGGAAGGAACACCAGUGGCGAAGGCGACUACCUGGACUGAUACUGACACUGAGGUGCGAAAGCGUGGGGAGCAAACAGGAUUAGAUACCCUUGUAGUCC